Fusarium sp. DS 682 is the source of this 121-nucleotide non-coding RNA. NCBI's taxonomy places the organism in Eukaryota, Fungi, Ascomycota, Sordariomycetes, Hypocreales, Nectriaceae. The record is from the annotation of a GenBank genome assembly.
AGCAAUUUGGCGCAGUGGAAGCGCGGUAUGUUUACUACUAUCUGCAUCACAUCAACCAUUACUAACAGACGCAGCCGGGCUCAUAACCCGGAGGUCGCACGAUCGAAACGUGCAAUUGCUA